This 349-nucleotide ribosomal RNA is filed under the name uncultured bacterium. Its description in RNAcentral is "partial 16S ribosomal RNA". It matches the Rfam family "Bacterial small subunit ribosomal RNA", at positions 338 to 704 of the family's 1533-position model. The record is from RNAcentral.
CCUACGGGAGGCUGCAGUGGGGAAUAUUGCACAAUGGGGGAAACCCUGAUGCAGCGACGCCGCGUGAGUGAAGAAGGAUUUCGGGAUGUAAAGCUCUAUCAGCAGGGAAGAAAAAGACGGUACCUGAGUAAGAAGCCCCGGCUAACUACGUGCCAGCAGCCGCGGUAAUACGUAGGGGGCAAGCGUUAUCCGGAUUUACUGGGUGUAAAGGGAGCGUAGACGGCAGCACAAGUCUGGAGUGAAAUGCCGGGGCUUAACCCCGGAACUGCGUGGGAAACUGUGCAGCUAGAGUGCAGGAGAGGUCAGUGGCAUUCCUAUUGUAGCGGUGCCAUGCGUAGCUAUUAGGCGG